Molecule: ribosomal RNA, 305 nt
Filed under: uncultured bacterium
Lineage: Bacteria
Description: bacterial SSU rRNA
Rfam family: Bacterial small subunit ribosomal RNA
Source: RNAcentral
UUGGGCCUACGGGAGGCAGCAGUGGGGAUUCUUGCACAAUGGGCGAAAGCCUGAUGCAGCAACGCCGCGUGAGCGAAAAAGGCCUUUGGGUCGUAAAGCUCUGUCCUAAGGGAAGAAGGAAGUGACGGUACCUUAGGAGGAAGCCCCGGCUAACUACGUGCCAGCAGCCGCGGUAAUACGUAGGGGGCAAGCGUUAUCCGGAAUUAUUGGGCGUAAAGAGUACGUAGGCGGUUCUUUAAGCGUAGGGUCUAAGGCGAUGGCUUAACCAUCGUUCGCCCUUUGAACUGGAGGACUUGGGGAUCGGG